AUCCAGAAGUCUAAAUGCAAACAAUACAUUUAAGCCCCAAAUUACAAUGAAAUGAAUUGAAAAAAUAAAAUUAAACCAAAACAUGCUAUAAAUUCGACUUACAAGUUCUCACAGACACCAAGCAUAUUUUAAGAUGACACGCAAAAAAAUAAAGAGGAAACAAUAUUGGUUAAAUGAGUAAAUGUUUAAGUUAAAAAACAUAGAGAUGCCCAACAAGCUUAAGCACUCAAACAUAAUAUUGACCAGAGUAAAGACAACAAAUGUGCCCAAAAACUAUAUUAUGUUCGUGGUUAUUCCAACAGAAUAGCAUUUUCACCUUUGCUAGAGCUGCACCCAGUACACACAUAGAAACACACCUACAUAUGGUUUUUGCCCACACAAAAGGCUAUGCACGUGUAUGUUUAAUAUUCCGGUAGUUAGAAGAAUUUCAAAGCAAGCGAAUCAAAACAGAAAGUUCUUGGCGUUCAAUAAAAAUCUAAGACUAUCCUCAACCAAAUAAUGAUGCAAAGCAAAUUAAGAGAACAAUGAGAUGGGAAACAACUAUCUCAAUCUAAGGAACAAAAACCCUAAGAGACUGAAACCAAAGCCUAAUCUGAUAAAAAAAUAAAGAAAGAAAGAAACGAAUACAGAGAUAAACAUAUGGAUGCUGAGAGGG
This 655-nucleotide unclassified non-coding RNA is filed under the name Hevea brasiliensis (rubber tree). The record is from RNAcentral. Lineage: Eukaryota; Viridiplantae; Streptophyta; Magnoliopsida; Malpighiales; Euphorbiaceae.